RNAcentral lists this transfer RNA (75 nucleotides) under Acidobacteriota bacterium. RNAcentral describes it as "tRNA-Gln". It matches the Rfam family "tRNA". From Rfam's summary of the family: Transfer RNA (tRNA) molecules are approximately 80 nucleotides in length. Their secondary structure includes four short double-helical elements and three loops (D, anti-codon, and T loops). Further hydrogen bonds mediate the characteristic L-shaped molecular structure. tRNAs have two regions of fundamental functional importance: the anti-codon, which is responsible for specific mRNA codon recognition, and the 3' end, to which the tRNAs corresponding amino acid is attached (by aminoacyl-tRNA synthetases). tRNAs cope with the degeneracy of the genetic code in two manners: having more than one tRNA (with a specific anti-codon) for a particular amino acid; and 'wobble' base-pairing, i.e. permitting non-standard base-pairing at the 3rd anti-codon position. RNAcentral also lists the same sequence under 3 other names. Lineage: Bacteria; Pseudomonadati; Acidobacteriota. The record is from RNAcentral.
UCCGGGGUCGGCUAAUCGGUAGGCCACCAGACUUUGGAUCUGGUUAUCCUGGUUCGAGUCCAGGCCCCGGAACCA